RNAcentral lists this ribosomal RNA (253 nucleotides) under uncultured bacterium. RNAcentral's name for it is "partial 16S ribosomal RNA". It matches the Rfam family "Bacterial small subunit ribosomal RNA", at positions 524 to 776 of the family's 1533-position model. The record is from RNAcentral.
UACGAAGGGGGCGAGCGUUGUUCGGAUUUACUGGGCGUAAAGGGCGCGCAGGCGGCGCAAAAAGUCAGGCGUGAAAGCCCCGGGCUCAACCUGGGAACUGCGCCUGGGACUUUUGUGCUGGAGUUCGGGAGAGGAGCGUGGAAUUCCCAGUGUAGAGGUGAAAUUCGUAGAUAUUGGGAAGAACACCGGUGGCGAAGGCGGCGCUCUGGACCGAUACUGACGCUGAGGCGCGAAAGCGUGGGGAGCAAACAGG